RNAcentral lists this long non-coding RNA (231 nucleotides) under Phasianus colchicus (ring-necked pheasant). RNAcentral's name for it is "lncRNA (ENSPCLG00000003748.1)". Lineage: Eukaryota; Metazoa; Chordata; Aves; Galliformes; Phasianidae. The record is from RNAcentral.
GUUUAUAACAUCUAUUCUAGUAACAAUUGAAGAAGUUACUAAGCAGAAGAAAAAUUGAAUUUGUGACUACAAUAGAUAGAAAAGAACUAUGUGAUACCUAAGUGAAAAUGAAGACAGUAUUUGGAAGAAGUAAUCUUAGAGACAGAUUCCACCUCCUGAUGUAUUGAUACGAUUACCCGCUGUUAUGUGAGUCAUCCAUUUGCCUCUGAAGGGAUUUUGCUUCUACCAAAC